GACGUAGGGUGCGAGCGUUGUCCGGAUUUAUUGGGCGUAAAGAGCUCGUAGGCGGCUCGUCGCGUCGACCGUGAAAACCCGCAGCUUAACUGCGGGCUUGCGGUUGAUACGGGCGGGCUAGAGUUCGGUAGGGGAGACUGGAAUUCCUGGUGUAGCGGUGAAAUGCGCAGAUAUCGGGAAGAACACCCGUGGCGAAGGCGGUUCUCUGGGACGGUACUGACGCUGAGACGCGAAAGCGUGGGGAGCGAAUGGG
Molecule: ribosomal RNA, 253 nt
Filed under: uncultured bacterium
Lineage: Bacteria
Description: partial 16S ribosomal RNA
Rfam family: Bacterial small subunit ribosomal RNA
Source: RNAcentral